Molecule: ribosomal RNA, 433 nt
Filed under: uncultured bacterium
Lineage: Bacteria
Description: partial 16S ribosomal RNA
Rfam family: Bacterial small subunit ribosomal RNA
Source: RNAcentral
GACGAACGCUGGCGGCGUGCCUAACACAUGCAAGUCGAACGAGAACUUCGGGUCUAGUUGCGCACGUGUGCUUAACACGUGGGAAGCUGCCCUUGGGUUCCGUGUCACAGUUGGAAACGUCUGCUCAUACCGGUUGAUGACGUAAGUCCAAAGAUUUCUCGCGCAGGGGUGAGCGCGCGAAGGAUUAGCUAGUUGGUGGGGUAAAGGCAUACCAAGGCGACGAUGCUUAGCUGGUCUGAGAGGAUGAUCAGCUACACUGGGACUGAGACACGGCCCAGACUCCUACGGGAGGGAGCAGUAGGGAAUAUUGGACAAUGGGCGAAAGCCUGAUCCAGCAACGCCGCGGGAGUGAUGAAGGCCUUAGGGUUGUAAAGCUCUUUUACCCGGGAUGAUAAUGACAGUACCGGGAGAAUAAGCCCCGGCUAACUCCGUG